RNAcentral lists this ribosomal RNA (99 nucleotides) under uncultured bacterium. Its description in RNAcentral is "partial 16S ribosomal RNA". It matches the Rfam family "Bacterial small subunit ribosomal RNA", at positions 1384 to 1482 of the family's 1533-position model. The record is from RNAcentral.
UACACACCGCCCGUCACAUCACGAAAGUGAGCUGUACUAGAAGUCGCUUAGCCAACCGUAAGGGGGCGGGCGCCCAAGGUAUGGCCCAUGAUUGGGGUG